RNAcentral lists this unclassified non-coding RNA (233 nucleotides) under uncultured fungus. Its description in RNAcentral is "sequence contains ITS2". The stretch from base 1 to 52 matches the Rfam family "5.8S ribosomal RNA", at positions 103 to 154 of the family's 154-position model. The record is from RNAcentral. Lineage: Eukaryota; Fungi.
AACGCACAUUGCGCCCUCUGGUAUUCCGGGGGGCAUGCCUGUUCGAGCGUCAUUACAACCCUCAAGCUCUGCUUGGUAUUGGGCAACACCUGGGUGUGCCUCAAAAUCAGUGGCGGUGCUGUCAGGCUCCAAGCGUAGUAACACUUCUCGCUAUGGAGUCCUGGUAGUGCUUGCCAGCAACCCCCACUUCUAAGGUUGACCUCGGAUCAGGUAGGGAUACCCGCUGAACUUAA